AUUGAACGCUGGCGGCAUGCCUUACACAUGCAAGUCGAACGGUAACAGGUCUUCGGAUGCUGACGAGUGGCGAACGGGUGAGUAAUACAUCGGAACGUGCCUAGUAGUGGGGGAUAACUACUCGAAAGAGUGGCUAAUACCGCAUGAGAUCUACGGAUGAAAGCAGGGGAUCGCAAGACCUUGUGCUACUAGAGCGGCCGAUGGCAGAUUAGGUAGUUGGUGGGAUAAAAGCUUACCAAGCCGACGAUCUGUAGCUGGUCUGAAAGGACGAUCAGCCACACUGGGACUGAGACACUGCCCAGACUCCUACGGGAGGCAGCAGUGAGGAAUUUUGGACAAUGGGCGAAAGCCUGAUCCAGCAAUGCCGCGUGCAGGAUGAAGGCCUUCGGGUUGUAAACUGCUUUUGUACGGAACGAAAAGCCCCGGGUUAAUACCCUGGGGUCAUGACGGUACCGUAAGAAUAAGCACCGGCUAACUACGUGCCAGCAGCCGCAGUAA
This 498-nucleotide ribosomal RNA is filed under the name uncultured bacterium. RNAcentral's name for it is "partial 16S ribosomal RNA". It matches the Rfam family "Bacterial small subunit ribosomal RNA", at positions 30 to 523 of the family's 1533-position model. The record is from RNAcentral.